UACGUAGGUCCCAAGCGUUGUCCGGAUUUAUUGGGCGUAAAGCGAGCGCAGGUGGUUUAUUAAGUCUGGUGUAAAAGGCAGUGGCUCAACCAUUGUAUGCAUUGGAAACUGGUAGACUUGAGUGCAGGAGAGGAGAGUGGAAUUCCAUGUGUAGCGGUGAAAUGCGUAGAUAUAUGGAGGAACACCGGUGGCGAAAGCGGCUCUCUGGCCUGUAACUGACACUGAGGCUCGAAAGCGUGGGGAGCAAAUAGG
This 252-nucleotide ribosomal RNA is filed under the name uncultured bacterium. Its description in RNAcentral is "partial 16S ribosomal RNA". It matches the Rfam family "Bacterial small subunit ribosomal RNA", at positions 524 to 776 of the family's 1533-position model. The record is from RNAcentral.